GCAAGUCGAGCGAACGGACGAGAAGCUUGCUUCUCUGAUGUUAGCGGCGGACGGGUGAGUAACACGUGGAUAACCUACCUAUAAGAAUUGGAUAACUUCGGGAAACCGGAGCUAAUCCCGGAUAAUAUUUUGAACCGCAUGGUUCAAGAGUGAAAGACGGUCUUGCUGUCACUUAUAGAUGGAUACGCGCUGGAUUAGCUAGUUGGUAAGGUAACGGCUUACCAAGGCAACGAUGCAUAGCCGAUCUGAGAGGGUGAUC
Molecule: ribosomal RNA, 259 nt
Filed under: uncultured bacterium
Lineage: Bacteria
Description: partial 16S ribosomal RNA
Rfam family: Bacterial small subunit ribosomal RNA
Source: RNAcentral